CUGGCGGCAGGCCUAACACAUGCAAGUCGAACGGGAUCUUCGGAUCUAGUGGCGGACGGGUUAGUAACGCGUGGGAACGUACCCUUUUCUACGGAAUAGCCUCGGGAAACUGAGAGUAAUACCGUAUACGCCCUUCGGGGGAAAGAUUUAUCGGAGAAGGAUCGGCCCGCGUAAGAUUAGAUAGUUGGUGGGGUAAUGGCCUACCAAGUCUACGAUCCUUAGCUGGUUUGAGAGGAUGAUCAGCAACACUGGGACUGAGACACGGCCCAGACUCCUACGGGAGGCAGCAGUGGGGAAUCUUAGACAAUGGGGGAGACCCUGAUCUAGCCAUGCCGCGUGAGUGACGAAGGCCUUAGGUCGUAAAGCUCUUUCGCUGGGGAAGAUAAUGACUGUACCCAGUAAAGAAACCCCGGCUAACUCCGUGCCAGCAGCCGCGGUAAUACGGAGGGGGUUAGCGUUGUUCGGAAUUACUGGGCGUAAAGCGCGCGUAGGCGGACUGGAAAGUUGGGGGUGAAAUCCCGGGGCUAACCCCGGAC
Molecule: ribosomal RNA, 536 nt
Filed under: uncultured Alphaproteobacteria bacterium
Lineage: Bacteria; Pseudomonadati; Pseudomonadota; Alphaproteobacteria
Description: bacterial SSU rRNA
Rfam family: Bacterial small subunit ribosomal RNA
Source: RNAcentral